RNAcentral lists this ribosomal RNA (576 nucleotides) under uncultured bacterium. RNAcentral's name for it is "bacterial SSU rRNA". It matches the Rfam family "Bacterial small subunit ribosomal RNA", at positions 340 to 916 of the family's 1533-position model. The record is from RNAcentral.
UACGGGAGGCAGCAGUGAGGAAUAUUGGUCAAUGGAUGCAAGUCUGAACCAGCCACGUCGCGUGAAGGAAGACGGCCCUACGGGUUGUAAACUUCUUUUGUAAGGGAAUAAAGUGCAGUACGCGUACUGUUUUGCAAGUACCUUGCGAAUAAGGAUCGGCUAACUCCGUGCCAGCAGCCGCGGUAAUACGGAGGAUCCGAGCGUUAUCCGGAUUUAUUGGGUUUAAAGGGUGCUCAGGCGGGGGAUUAAGUCGGCGGUGAAAUUUUGCAGCUCAACUGUAAAAGUGCCUUCGAAACUGGUUUCCUUGAGUGUGGAUGAGGUAGGCGGAAUUUGUGGUGUAGCGGUGAAAUGCAUAGAUAUCACGAGGAACUCCGAUUGCGCAGGCAGCUUACUAAGCCAUAACUGACGCUCAAGCACGAAGGCGUGGGGAUCAAACAGGAUUAGAUACCCUGGUAGUCCACGCAGUAAACGAUGAUUACUGGCUGUUUGCGAUAUAAUGUAAGCGGCUGAGCGAAAGCGUUAAGUAAUCCACCUGGGGAGUACGUUCGCAAGAAUGAAACUCAAAGGAAUUGACGG